Molecule: long non-coding RNA, 1125 nt
Filed under: Apteryx rowi (Okarito brown kiwi)
Lineage: Eukaryota; Metazoa; Chordata; Aves; Apterygiformes; Apterygidae
Description: lncRNA (ENSARWG00000005695.1)
Source: RNAcentral
AUGGCAGAUUCUGAUUUACUUAUUCCUUUCAUGUUUUAUAUUAAUCUGUUCAUGUACAGAAGAUAUAAGGUGUUCAGAUGUCUUAAUGGGAAUUCCCAGUUUACAGAAUAUGAUGUGCAUGGAUCUACUGCAUUGAUCUCCUCCUACCGCUUUCUGUGUAGGAAUUCUUAUGUCAGGCAUUUUUGUGGAAUAAAGAAGAUGGAACUCAGAGGCAGGCAAUGGAGAAUGUUGCUGAAAAUACAAUGCUAAAUACUGACAGAAGAAUUAUCAAAUUGUCCCUUUUCCUUUCUUCAGAACAGGAACAGACUUAUUUAGGCUGCUUUAAGACCGUACAGAUCCUUCAAAGAAUGUGCUGAUAGUAAUGUGCCCAUUCACAGCUGUUCUUAUUCCAGCAGCACUGAGGUGUAAGGAUGAAAAGGGAUAUCAAGCCCAGAAUAGGUCAAAAUGAAUCAGUUUAACUACCAGGCUGCUCACAAAGAUGGAACCUUAGCUCUGCUGUGUGAGAAGCUUUUCUCCUAGAAGAAAUACACAUUGCAGCAAGCACGUUUUAAUGUUAGUUUUUAACAGAGUAAGCCUACUGCCUCUUUCCUAUGAUGGAUGAUUUUCCUUCAUAGUCUAAAUGAACUAAUUUAUCCUUUUGUAAGCAGAAGCUUAGUAUGUCAACUUGCUAAUGGCAAUGAGAGUUGGAUGCAUGAACUGCAGCAAUGGAAGGCUUAUGGAUAUAGAUGAAAACUCUGCCAGAUGUAUGAAACUGAUAAUGAUUAGUCUGGAUUAAAUGUAAAAUUGAAUUCCUCUGAAUUUUACUAUUACAGAUUACUUAUAUUUGUAGUCACCUAUCAGUUCUUUUACUUAACAGUACGUUACUUUACUUUCUUUACUUUAACAAUGUUGUCUAGUAACUACAGCUAGAAAAUGGCAUCCUAAUCCUGUUUUUUGCUGAUAAGGACUGAUGCAUGUUAUUAAAUAUCUUACCAGUACAAUUGUUUGGAGGGUUUUUUGUUUGUUUAUUGGUUUUCUGGCAUUACCAUUAUAAGACCUCGAGCAAUCUUUAUGCUUUAUAUUUGCAUAUUUGUUUCAUUUCAUAUGAUGGAAGAAUUUAUAUUGUUUAUAUGUUUAUAGGUAUUA